This 464-nucleotide ribosomal RNA is filed under the name uncultured bacterium. RNAcentral's name for it is "bacterial SSU rRNA". It matches the Rfam family "Bacterial small subunit ribosomal RNA", at positions 338 to 795 of the family's 1533-position model. The record is from RNAcentral.
CCUACGGGGUGCACCAGUGGGGAAUAUUGCACAAUGGGCGCAAGCCUGAUGCAGCCAUGCCGCGUGUGUGAAGAAGGCCUUCGGGUUGUAAAGCACUCUCAGCGGGGAGGAAGGCGAUAAGGUUAAUAACCUUGUCGAUUGACGUUACCCGCAGAAGAAGCACCGGCUAACUCCGUGCCAGCAGCCGCGGUAAUACGGAGGGUGCAAGCGUUAAUCGGAAUUACUGGGCGUAAAGCGCACGCAGGCGGUCUGUCAAGUCGGAUGUGAAAUCCCCGGGCUCAACCUGGGAACUGCAUUCGAAACUGGCAGGCUAGAGUCUUGUAGAGGGGGGUAGAAUUCCAGGUGUAGCGAUGAGAUGCGUAGAGAUCUGGAGGAAUACCGGUGGCGAAGGCGGCCCCCUGGACAAAGACUGACGCUCAGGUGCGAAAGCGUGGGGAGCAACGGGAUUAGAUACCCGUGUAGUC